RNAcentral lists this ribosomal RNA (2906 nucleotides) under Escherichia coli. RNAcentral's name for it is "23S ribosomal RNA". It matches the Rfam family "Bacterial large subunit ribosomal RNA". The record is from RNAcentral. Lineage: Bacteria; Pseudomonadati; Pseudomonadota; Gammaproteobacteria; Enterobacterales; Enterobacteriaceae.
GGUUAAGCGACUAAGCGUACACGGUGGAUGCCCUGGCAGUCAGAGGCGAUGAAGGACGUGCUAAUCUGCGAUAAGCGUCGGUAAGGUGAUAUGAACCGUUAUAACCGGCGAUUUCCGAAUGGGGAAACCCAGUGUGUUUCGACACACUAUCAUUAACUGAAUCCAUAGGUUAAUGAGGCGAACCGGGGGAACUGAAACAUCUAAGUACCCCGAGGAAAAGAAAUCAACCGAGAUUCUCCCAGUAGCGGCGAGCGAACGGGGAGCAGCCCAGAGCCUGAAUCAGUGUGUGUGUUAGUGGAAGCGUCUGGAAAGGCGCGCGAUACAGGGUGACAGCCCCGUACACAAAAAUGCACAUGCUGUGAGCUCGAUGAGUAGGGCGGGACACGUGGUAUCCUGUCUGAAUAUGGGGGGACCAUCCUCCAAGGCUAAAUACUCCUGACUGACCGAUAGUGAACCAGUACCGUGAGGGAAAGGCGAAAAGAACCCCGGCGAGGGGAGUGAAAAAGAACCUGAAACCGUGUACGUACAAGCAGUGGGAGCACGCUUAGGCGUGUGACUGCGUACCUUUUGUAUAAUGGGUCAGCGACUUAUAUUCUGUAGCAAGGUUAACCGAAUAGGGGAGCCGAAGGGAAACCGAGUCUUAACUGGGCGUUAAGUUGCAGGGUAUAGACCCGAAACCCGGUGAUCUAGCCAUGGGCAGGUUGAAGGUUGGGUAACACUAACUGGAGGACCGAACCGACUAAUGUUGAAAAAUUAGCGGAUGACUUGUGGCUGGGGGUGAAAGGCCAAUCAAACCGGGAGAUAGCUGGUUCUCCCCGAAAGCUAUUUAGGUAGCGCCUCGUGAAUUCAUCUCCGGGGGUAGAGCACUGUUUCGGCAAGGGGGUCAUCCCGACUUACCAACCCGAUGCAAACUGCGAAUACCGGAGAAUGUUAUCACGGGAGACACACGGCGGGUGCUAACGUCCGUCGUGAAGAGGGAAACAACCCAGACCGCCAGCUAAGGUCCCAAAGUCAUGGUUAAGUGGGAAACGAUGUGGGAAGGCCCAGACAGCCAGGAUGUUGGCUUAGAAGCAGCCAUCAUUUAAAGAAAGCGUAAUAGCUCACUGGUCGAGUCGGCCUGCGCGGAAGAUGUAACGGGGCUAAACCAUGCACCGAAGCUGCGGCAGCGACGCUUAUGCGUUGUUGGGUAGGGGAGCGUUCUGUAAGCCUGUGAAGGUGUGCUGUGAGGCAUGCUGGAGGUAUCAGAAGUGCGAAUGCUGACAUAAGUAACGAUAAAGCGGGUGAAAAGCCCGCUCGCCGGAAGACCAAGGGUUCCUGUCCAACGUUAAUCGGGGCAGGGUGAGUCGACCCCUAAGGCGAGGCCGAAAGGCGUAGUCGAUGGGAAACAGGUUAAUAUUCCUGUACUUGGUGUUACUGCGAAGGGGGGACGGAGAAGGCUAUGUUGGCCGGGCGACGGUUGUCCCGGUUUAAGCGUGUAGGCUGGUUUUCCAGGCAAAUCCGGAAAAUCAAGGCUGAGGCGUGAUGACGAGGCACUACGGUGCUGAAGCAACAAAUGCCCUGCUUCCAGGAAAAGCCUCUAAGCAUCAGGUAACAUCAAAUCGUACCCCAAACCGACACAGGUGGUCAGGUAGAGAAUACCAAGGCGCUUGAGAGAACUCGGGUGAAGGAACUAGGCAAAAUGGUGCCGUAACUUCGGGAGAAGGCACGCUGAUAUGUAGGUGAAGUCCCUCGCGGAUGGAGCUGAAAUCAGUCGAAGAUACCAGCUGGCUGCAACUGUUUAUUAAAAACACAGCACUGUGCAAACACGAAAGUGGACGUAUACGGUGUGACGCCUGCCCGGUGCCGGAAGGUUAAUUGAUGGGGUUAGCCGCAAGGCGAAGCUCUUGAUCGAAGCCCCGGUAAACGGCGGCCGUAACUAUAACGGUCCUAAGGUAGCGAAAUUCCUUGUCGGGUAAGUUCCGACCUGCACGAAUGGCGUAAUGAUGGCCAGGCUGUCUCCACCCGAGACUCAGUGAAAUUGAACUCGCUGUGAAGAUGCAGUGUACCCGCGGCAAGACGGAAAGACCCCGUGAACCUUUACUAUAGCUUGACACUGAACAUUGAGCCUUGAUGUGUAGGAUAGGUGGGAGGCUUAGAAGUGUGGACGCCAGUCUGCAUGGAGCCGACCUUGAAAUACCACCCUUUAAUGUUUGAUGUUCUAACGUUGACCCGUAAUCCGGGUUGCGGACAGUGUCUGGUGGGUAGUUUGACUGGGGCGGUCUCCUCCUAAAGAGUAACGGAGGAGCACGAAGGUUGGCUAAUCCUGGUCGGACAUCAGGAGGUUAGUGCAAUGGCAUAAGCCAGCUUGACUGCGAGCGUGACGGCGCGAGCAGGUGCGAAAGCAGGUCAUAGUGAUCCGGUGGUUCUGAAUGGAAGGGCCAUCGCUCAACGGAUAAAAGGUACUCCGGGGAUAACAGGCUGAUACCGCCCAAGAGUUCAUAUCGACGGCGGUGUUUGGCACCUCGAUGUCGGCUCAUCACAUCCUGGGGCUGAAGUAGGUCCCAAGGGUAUGGCUGUUCGCCAUUUAAAGUGGUACGCGAGCUGGGUUUAGAACGUCGUGAGACAGUUCGGUCCCUAUCUGCCGUGGGCGCUGGAGAACUGAGGGGGGCUGCUCCUAGUACGAGAGGACCGGAGUGGACGCAUCACUGGUGUUCGGGUUGUCAUGCCAAUGGCACUGCCCGGUAGCUAAAUGCGGAAGAGAUAAGUGCUGAAAGCAUCUAAGCACGAAACUUGCCCCGAGAUGAGUUCUCCCUGACUCCUUGAGAGUCCUGAAGGAACGUUGAAGACGACGACGUUGAUAGGCCGGGUGUGUAAGCGCAGCGAUGCGUUGAGCUAACCGGUACUAAUGAACCGUGAGGCUUAACCUU